RNAcentral lists this unclassified non-coding RNA (343 nucleotides) under soil metagenome. Its description in RNAcentral is "partial contains 5.8S ribosomal RNA, internal transcribed spacer 2, and large subunit ribosomal RNA". The stretch from base 1 to 120 matches the Rfam family "5.8S ribosomal RNA", at positions 35 to 154 of the family's 154-position model. The record is from RNAcentral.
GAUGAAGAACGUAGCGAAAUGCGAUAAGUUAUGUGAAUUGCAGAAUUCAGUGAAUCAUCGAAUCUUCGAACGCACAUUGCGCCCGCUAGUAUUCUGGCGGGCAUGCCUGUCCGAGCGUCAUUUCAACCCUCAAGCCCCCGGGCUUGGUGUUGGGGAUCGGCGAGCCUCCGCGCCCGCCGUCCCCUAAAUCUAGUGGCGGUCUCGCUGUAGCUUCCUCUGCGUAGUAGCACACCUCGCACUGGGAAACAGCGCGGCCACGCCGUUAAACCCCCAACUUCUGAACGUUUGACCUCGGAUCAGGUAGGAAUACCCGCUGAACUUAAGCAUAUCAAUAAGCGGAGGA